Molecule: long non-coding RNA, 2940 nt
Organism: Micropterus salmoides (largemouth bass)
Lineage: Eukaryota; Metazoa; Chordata; Actinopteri; Centrarchiformes; Centrarchidae
Exons: 7
Source: RefSeq, a predicted model, not a curated record
UCAAUAAUCGAUUAUCUAGAGGUUCACUGUUAACGUAGUGUUGACAGAGGGAAAAAGGCGGAACUGCAGCUCCGGACCAUAUGUGCGGUGCACACAAUGGAGACAUGUGGUACUCCCUGUUCGCCACAGACAGACAGCUGUUGAAUGAGUGACUGCUGCAACUAAACUUUACACAUGAUAAAUAAAUGCGUAACUAAUGUCAAUGAUUUUAACCAGCACAUGGUGCAGCUUGGGUAGCGCUUAACUAGCAUCCUCUGCUCCUUCUUAAAAGGUAAGGUACUUUAUUUGUCAAAUAGACACACAUGUAGCGAAAUUCUUCCUCUGCAUUUAACCCAUCCCUGAAGGGAGCAGUGGGCAGACACAGCGCCCGGGGACCAACUUCAGAAUGAAUGCAGGUCAAACGGCACUGACUGGAGAACCUACUCUAACAUGUUUUUGAAGGACAGCUUCAAAGGACAGCUGCAGAGGAAAAGACGAGCGCUACUUUCUGUCUGGCAGUAAAAUUUACACAAAGUUUACAAGAUAUUUACAUAGACAAAAUUACAAUGAGUUUAAAAUAUGUAAAACAAACAAAAUUAGAAAGACUAAAUGUAGAGAUCUACCUACCAUUAAUUAAAAACAAGUGCAUAUGUCUGUCAGAAUGUCACACUGUUAGAAAUUAUCAGCAUUUCACAAUAAUUAAAAGUAUUAUUUUACAGUAACUUGUUGUAAAUGAGUUUCCCUGUAAUAUCCCGAUGAAUACCUGUAAAAACUACAGUAUCCUUGGAUUUUACAGCAUUUAACUCUUAUUUUACAGUAAAAUCUUGCAAUCUAAAACCUGCUGUUAUAUCACAACAAGGCUCCGUCGUGUCCCUCUUCUAUUCCGGGCUGAAUGGAGAAGGUGAGCAGCAUGCAUGUUUGCAGCACUUACACCCAUGUUAUUUUAAUAUGAUAAUAAUAUUUACUUUCAAAACGUUUAGCGCAUGACUCAGUUCACAUUUUGUUAGCAAGUGCCCGGAAUUGUUGAAAGUUCUCUCACAGCAUUUGCUAAUAGUAGUAAUGUUAGUAAUGAGGAGAGUUUCGCUACAGUUUUUCAUGUCACAAUCCCCGUUUAGACAAAUCUGGUGUUUGUAAAGUUUAUAAAACCAAUGAUGGGACAAACAUUACUAUUUAUGUGUGCACAUUUCUGUAAUUAGUCAAGGUUAUCAUAGAUUAGCAUUGCUUACUGUUAGCUGUUUAACUUUAAUAACUUAGUGAUUCAAACGGUGAUUCACCGUCAAAAAAAGAAAGUGAUUCAAACAACACAAAAUCAUUCUCCAGAACUUUCUCAUUCACGGUUCCAUGCUGGUGGAAUGAUCUUUCCACCCUCAUCCGGAAUGCACAAUCCAGGUCCAUGAAAAAAUAUUUUUCCAGCGGAUAUCCUAGUUACAACAUGACUGAGCUAACUGGAGUAAAUUAGUCUCAUGUCGUGUUCGACAACGGGAGGGUUUUAACACUAGAGUUCCCACUUGUCCUGAUAUGAAUGAAUAAUAAUUGUAAAAGUUGUAAAUGCACUUUCCAUUGAGUGAGCAAUCUCAAAGUGCUACAGUAAAAAAACACUAUAGAUAUACCACUAUCAUUUUUGACAUACGGCUAAAAUUAAAUUAAAAUCAAUUAUCAUAAUCUGCAUUCAAACUGAAAUUCUUAUUGUUGGUUGCCUUUGUGUAAUUUCUCCUUUUUCUUUUCUUUUCUUUCCAGGUCAUCAGAGGGCGAGGCUAACCAUCCUGUUCAGUGUCAGGCUAAGAGUGAGGAGAAAUAGAUUAGGUGUGUCAGGUGGGGCCCAGCAGAUUGGCCAGACGGGGAGACCGAGGCAACGUUGGAGAAUAUGAAGAGGGAUCUGCUGAACAUCUACUCAGGCAUGCCAUCUACUCUCUUUUUGGAGGAAGGAACGAGUGGGGCAGGGAGAGCAGAACCAAUGAUGGAAAAGACAUACGUCAUCCUGCGGAAAUACCUUAACAAAGUGCCUGCUGCAGCGAUGUCUGAGAUCAAACAGGAAUGGCCAUUUCUCUUCUCUCAGAAAUGCCUAUUCUCACUCUCUUUGGCCUCCUGACGGACGUCAAUGUCCUUCAGAAGCUACAGGAGGCAAUUAGUCGACGAGGACAGACCAUCCUGGAUUACUGUGCAACACUGGACAAGAGCCGAAAGAGAGUUUGAUGCUUGAAGUUGAUCCAUGUGCCACUGCUGUGUACGUCAAUACUGCAGAACUCCCCAGCACCCCCUGCUUGAUCAUUCAAGGUGACAUGAUGAAGCCCUCUGGAUGGCUUAUAUCCGUCGAGGGACAUGUCGUGAUGGGCCCACACCCUUUCUUUUUACACGGAGUAGCUGCUUUCUUCAGCAGCUAUUACGUCUUCAACCUUGAGUAUCCUGCCUCUGGAUCGUUGAUGCAGGAGUUCAUUCAAAGAGGCUCAAAGACCAAGAAGCGGACAACAAUGACCCCUCAUGUGAGCACCCUUUUGAGGAAACUUAUUGACUUUGAGGGGGCAUCAUAGUUUUUGUUGUUUGCAGCGGUAGUUAUCAGGCUCAGUUUUGAGUAGCCUUGUUCUUUUUGUAAUUUUUCAAGACAACUUUGCACUACAAGAUUUUUACACAAUGCUGACUCAUUAUAAUGUUUGAGACUGAGAGGAGCGCCUCACCCCUUUAAGACAUUCCUUCAUCGCUCUCUCCCUUGCUCUCUUAUCUUGCCAUGAAGGCCUCAUUCCCAUCCUGUCCAUUCCUGUUAUUGUGACAGAGCUAGUUGAAAAGUUGAAAUGUGAAACAGGUAGUUGAAUUGCAAGUUUGCACAAUUUCUCUGCAUUUUCUGCAUUUUAAGAUGGCUUUUAUGACUAGAAAGAUGAAUUUCUUGAACUCUUGAAGUUCUUGGCAUCUGCUGCACAUUGAAAAAUAUUUAUUUGUUAAUAAAUAUGCCAUUGGGCUAACAUUGAA